AUUGAACGCUAGCGGCAUGCCUAACACAUGCAAGUCGAACGAGUGGCGGACGGGUGAGUAAUGUAUCGGACACUGCCCAGUAGCGGGGGAUAACUACUGGAAACGGUAGCUAAUACCGCAUACUAUCGGAUGUACCCAUAUGGGAUUAGCUAGUAGGUGGGGUAACGGCUCACCUAGGCGACGAUCCCUAGCUGGUCUGAGAGGAUGAUCAGCCACACUGGGACUGAGACACGGCCCAGACUCCUACGGGAGGCAGCAGUGGGGAAUAUUGCACAAUGGGCGCAAGCCUGAUGCAGCCAUGCCGCGUGUAUGAAGAAGGCCUUAGGGUUGUAAAGUACUUUCAGCCGGGAGGCGUUACCGACAGAAGAAGCACCGGCUAACUCCGUGCCAGCAGCCGCGGUAAUUC
This 406-nucleotide ribosomal RNA is filed under the name uncultured bacterium. RNAcentral describes it as "partial 16S ribosomal RNA". It matches the Rfam family "Bacterial small subunit ribosomal RNA", at positions 30 to 526 of the family's 1533-position model. The record is from RNAcentral.